ACGUUUUCACCCUCGGGUGACAGGGAGACAGGUGGUGCAUGGUUGUCGUCAGCUCGUGUCGUGAGAUGUUGGGUUAAGUCCCGCAACGAGCGCAACCCCUACGUUUAGUUGCUAACGCGUGAAGGCGAGCACUCUAGACGAACUGCCGUUGACAAAACGGAGGAAGGUGGGGAUGACGUCAAAUCAUCAUGCCCCUUAUGUUCUGGGCUACACACGUGCUACAAUGGCCGGUACAGACGGACGCAAAGCCGCGAGGUGGAGCAAAUCCUAAAAAGCCGGUCUCAGUUCGGAUUGCAGGCUGCAAUUCGCCUGCAUGAGGUCGGAAUCGCUAGUAAUCGCAGGUCAGCAUACUGCGGUGAAUACGUUCCCGGGCCUU
RNAcentral lists this ribosomal RNA (376 nucleotides) under uncultured Pelotomaculum sp. RNAcentral describes it as "bacterial SSU rRNA". It matches the Rfam family "Bacterial small subunit ribosomal RNA", at positions 1008 to 1382 of the family's 1533-position model. Lineage: Bacteria; Bacillati; Bacillota; Clostridia; Eubacteriales; Desulfotomaculaceae. The record is from RNAcentral.